CCUACGGGUGGCAGCAGUGAGGAAUAGUGGUCAAUGGGCGAGAGCCUGAACCAGCCAAGUCGCGUGAAGGAUGAAGGAGCUAUGGUGGGUAAACUUCUGUUAUAGGGGAAUAAAGUGAGGAACGUGAGCCUGUUUGUAUGUACCAUAUGAAUAAGCAUCGGCUAACUCCGUGCCAGCAGCCGCGGUAAUACGGAGGAUGCGAGCGUUAUCCGGAUUUAUUGGGUUUAAAGGGUGCGUAGGUGGUUAAUUAAGUCGGCGGGGAAAGUUUGUGGCUCAACCAUAAAAUUGCCGUUGAAACUGUUUGACUUGAGUCUAUUUGCGCUAGGCGGAUUGC
This 334-nucleotide ribosomal RNA is filed under the name uncultured bacterium. RNAcentral describes it as "partial 16S ribosomal RNA". It matches the Rfam family "Bacterial small subunit ribosomal RNA", at positions 338 to 669 of the family's 1533-position model. The record is from RNAcentral.